GUUUGGGGUCUGCCUGGCACUGGCACCCCUGCCCUUCAACCUGCAGAGCAGAGGGGACUGGCUGAGGCUGCCUUCUCUCCCCCCUCAGGGCAGCAGGACCUCGCUGCUGAGACCUCAGGGCAGUGUCCCCCCGAAGGGUGAUUUCGUCCGCACCUCCUGCUACUCCACACUGGGACUUAAAGGUAUGGAGGCCCCGGAUGGUCUCCAAGCAGCCCAGGUGGCUGGCAUGUCGCGGACCCGGGAGAUCAGCCGCUAUUCGCCCUUUGGCUCCGCCCGGAGAGUGCCCGUCACGCAGCCCCAGUCCCUGCGCGGCAGUUGCUUCUCCACCCGCUUCCCCCACCGCCUGGCUGUCUUCCCCCGCACACCCAGCACCGCAGAGGCCCUGGACAAGCACCCGGCCCAGGGAGCACUGCAGACCCCAGCCAGGUGGGCCGGCGGCCUCUCCCCGGAGCCCAGAAGCUCUGACCCCGAUGACGCAGCCCCGCCCUGGGUGAGUGCCCUGGGGCUAGGGGGUUGAGGAGACCCAGCAGGGCCCUUUCCCAGACGAAGGAUUCCCUUCCUUUGACCCAAGGCCAGCUGAGCCCGUCCCGCUCUGGGACAGCACCCCAGGACAGGACGAAAGGG
RNAcentral lists this long non-coding RNA (624 nucleotides) under Gopherus agassizii (Agassiz's desert tortoise). RNAcentral's name for it is "lncRNA (ENSGAGG00000010140.1)". Lineage: Eukaryota; Metazoa; Chordata; Testudines; Testudinidae. The record is from RNAcentral.